Molecule: ribosomal RNA, 371 nt
Filed under: Stevenia atramentaria
Lineage: Eukaryota; Metazoa; Arthropoda; Insecta; Diptera; Rhinophoridae
Description: partial 16S ribosomal RNA
Source: RNAcentral
UCGAAGGUAGCAUAAUCAGUAGUCUUUUAAUUGAAGGCUGGUAUGAAUGGUUGGACGAAAUAUUAACUGUUUCAUAAAAAUUUAUAAUAAAAUUUUAUUUUUUAGUUAAAAAGCUAAAAUUUAUUUAAAAGACGAGAAGACCCUAUAAAUCUUUAUAUAAUUAUUUAUUAUAAUUUUUUAGAUUUAUUUUGUUAUAAUUAAUAAUUAUAUUUUAUUGGGGUGAUAUUAAAAUUUAAUAAACUUUUAAUUAAAAAAAUCAUUAAUUUAUGAAUAGUUGAUCCGUUAUUAACGAUUAAAAAAUUAAGUUACUUUAGGGAUAACAGCGUAAUUUUUUUGGAGAGUUCUUAUCAAUAAAAAAGAUUGCGACCUCG